UGAGGACCGUAUUCAUGGAAGAGGAUUGAACAGACUACUGAGUUCUUAAGAGAAAAAUGGCACUUAAGAAAUUGAUGGUGAUAUCAAAGGAAGGUUACUUAUUACUCUUGGACUUUGAUGAUGAGGACGAUGACAUAAAAGUUUCAGAGGAGGCUCUUGCGGAAGAGAUGAAGUAGACGGUAUGUUGGAUAAAUCUGGAGUAAAGAACCCAGCAAUUGGUAAAGAUGAGAAUACAUCGCCUCAAGUAAAAGGAGGUGAAGACAUGGGAGAUGAAAUUGACAGUAUGUUGGCUACAUCUGGAGGUCUUUUCUCCUGAGAACACGGGACUCCAGCAUCUUCGGAUUCUGCUCUUGGAGGGGUUUGCCCCACAUCCUCUAUAUUGCAGAAAACAAGACUAGGCUCUACCUCUGUAGAUCAAGCACGACUGAAAUCCGUGCUCUCAAAAGAUGCUGGGGAGAAAGAGUGCCAUUCUUCACAAAUGCUGGAUCCUGCAGAUGUUCACCAUCUCAUGAGUAGGGCCUCAGAAGUCCCCCACCAUGCCAAAGGAUUCACAGACCUACCAAAUCUUUGAAAACCCCAUCAGAAAAGGCCCCUUCUGCCCAAGAUGUGUGCAGCUGAACAGAGCGUUGAGGAAACGUCAGUGAUUUUAUAACUACUUAUCAUGUUGGGAGAUUGUUGUGAUGAUUGCCUGGACCCUCAGAUGUUACACAGGCUGCAUCAUUGGGCUGAAAGUGAAUGGCCCAUGUGUUGCCACUGAUGUGAGCCAUUUGCCUGUUGUGCUUCA
Molecule: non-coding RNA, 784 nt
Filed under: Mus musculus (house mouse)
Lineage: Eukaryota; Metazoa; Chordata; Mammalia; Rodentia; Muridae
Source: RNAcentral